Molecule: transfer RNA, 72 nt
Filed under: Bacteroidales bacterium
Lineage: Bacteria; Pseudomonadati; Bacteroidota; Bacteroidia; Bacteroidales
Also listed under: 1 other name
Description: tRNA-Arg
Rfam family: tRNA
About the family: Transfer RNA (tRNA) molecules are approximately 80 nucleotides in length. Their secondary structure includes four short double-helical elements and three loops (D, anti-codon, and T loops).
Source: RNAcentral
GCCUCUGUAGUUCAAUGGAUAGAACAAAAGUUUCCUAAACUUUAGAUUUGGGUUCGAUUCCCAGCGGAGGUA